GAGCUCCUGGAGCAGCGGCACCACAGGAUGGAGAAGUGGUGCCACGGACCAGCAGCGGACUAGCUUCGGGAAUUGGUUCCUACUUCAGGCCGGAUCUCCUCCUACAGGAGUCGUCAGAGGAUGACGAGGUGGAAGUGCAGCAGGCUGCAGUUGCUACAUCCCUGUCUGCCCAAAUGCAAGUGGUGGCAGACGUCCAGGAAGGGCAGAAUCCCUCAACUGUUUAGAGGGUUCACACCCUGGCAUCGGAGAUUACUUCCCGCCAG
Molecule: long non-coding RNA, 263 nt
Organism: Pseudophryne corroboree (corroboree frog)
Lineage: Eukaryota; Metazoa; Chordata; Amphibia; Anura; Myobatrachidae
Exons: 3
Source: RefSeq, a predicted model, not a curated record